Molecule: ribosomal RNA, 508 nt
Filed under: uncultured bacterium
Lineage: Bacteria
Description: partial 16S ribosomal RNA
Rfam family: Bacterial small subunit ribosomal RNA
Source: RNAcentral
AAUGAACGCUAGCUACAGGCUUAACACAUGCAAGUCGAGGGGAAACGAUAGAGAAAGCUUGCUUUUUCUAGGCGUCGACCGGCGCACGGGUGAGUAACGCGUAUCCAACCUGCCCAUCACUUGGGGAUAACCUUGCGAAAGUAAGACUAAUACCCAAUGACGUCUCUAGAAGACAUCUGAAAGAGAUUAAAGAUUUAUCGGUGAUGGAUGGGGAUGCGUCUGAUUAGCUUGUUGGCGGGGUAACGGCCCACCAAGGCGACGAUCAGUAGGGGUUCUGAGAGGAAGGUCCCCCACAUUGGAACGGAGACACGGUCCAAACUCCUACGGGAGGCAGCAGUGUGGAAUAUUGGUCAAUGGACGAGAGUCUGAACCAGCCAAGUAGCGUGCAGGAUGACGGCCCUAUGGGUUGUAAACUGCUUUUAUAAGGGAAUAAAGUGAGACUCGUGAGACUUUUUGCAUGUACCUUAUGAAUGAGGACCGGCUAAUUCCGUGCCAGCCGCCGCGGUAA